AGUCUUUAUAAGCGGGCCGGCGGCGGGGCGGGCCCAACAGACGCACGCGACUCUCGAGGAACAGACGUCUUCCCCGUGUGACACCGCUCCGUUUGAAUGUCCAGAAGGCAAAUCUGGGCUCCGCGGCUCGAUCUCGCGCUCGGAAGCAUCUCCAGCAGCAAGGGCAGCCGACAGGCCAACUGCGGUAACAAGCUCGAGAGGGAGGUGCUUACCCUGGUCCACCGAGUACCGUGAGAUCGAUAGCCCGAGUUAGAUAAAUUUGUGAAUUCUCUCGUCAUUGUACACUUCACAUCGGAGGCUCUCCGCGACCACCGGUCACUCCAGCGAGGCAGCAGCGAGGCAGCAGUGAGGCAGCGGUGAGACAGCAGUGAGACAUCUGUGAGACAGCGAGCCGCCUGAGUCACCCCAGCACCACCAUGGGCCACAGCAACGGACCCAAGUUCGCCGCCCCGGCCGCCGCCAACGGCGGUCUGAUGGCUUCCAUGCCCGUCAAGAAGCCUGCUCCGGCUCCGGCGAUCAAAAGCCAGCAGAAGGAUUCGAAGGGCAAAGACAACGGCUCCUGGGGGCCGGUGUUCAAGAAUAAGGACAACUUCAGGAACAUGCACAUGUACUGAGCGCACAGAGAAGCUUUAGAAAGCCGAUCGGCGACGCUGGGUUCUUGCAAUGCUUACAUCUGAGCGUUCUUAGAGCGCUAAGAUGAGCCGGUGGCCCUCCAUCGCCGCCGUGAACGACUGGCGAAGCUCAUCUGGCAAAGCUCAACUAGACGAGCUUGAAUGGCAAGACUAGUCCGGUGUUAGGGCGACUGCGCGGUCGAGGAGACUCACUGUAACGUCAAGCUAUCACCACGGAAGGCAAAAAAAAUCGCCCACUUCCCAACACCGAGUCACGGAAGCCGUAACGAAAAGUGACGAACCGUGACGGACGGCGACGAUCGGUGACAAACUGUGAUGGACAGCCGUAGUUCGGGAGCGGUCAGCUGUGAACCCACCUCGGCAGAACGCCGCCGCACCUCUCGCAGAUGACUGCAACAAUCACGCAGUGUCGGUCACAUAUGAACCGGGCUCUAGCAUGUCCGCCUUGUAUCAAGGUGAUUCAAAUGUAAUCGAUUAUGCUACGGUUUAUGGUACAAAUAUGAAUAUAUUAUAUAUUAUCGA
Molecule: long non-coding RNA, 1154 nt
Organism: Amphibalanus amphitrite
Lineage: Eukaryota; Metazoa; Arthropoda; Thecostraca; Balanomorpha; Balanidae
Exons: 4
Source: RefSeq, a predicted model, not a curated record